RNAcentral lists this ribosomal RNA (395 nucleotides) under uncultured bacterium. Its description in RNAcentral is "bacterial SSU rRNA". It matches the Rfam family "Bacterial small subunit ribosomal RNA", at positions 28 to 429 of the family's 1533-position model. The record is from RNAcentral.
GACGGACGCUGGCGGCGUGCUUAACACAUGCAAGUCGAGCGGUAAGGCCCUUUCGGGGGUACACGAGCGGCGAACGGGUGAGUAACACGUGGGUGACCUGCCUCUAGCUCUGGGAUAAGCCCGGGAAACUGGGUCUAAUACUGGAUAUGACUCCAUGACGCAUGUUGUGGGGUGGAAAGCCUUGUGCGGCUAGAGAUGGGCCCGCGGCCUAUCAGCUUGUUGGUGGGGGAUGGCCUACCAAGGCGACGACGGGUAGCCGGCCUGAGAGGGCGACCGGCCACACUGGGACUGAGACACGGCCCAGACUCCUACGGGAGGCAGCAGUGGGGAAUCUUGCGCAAUGGGCGAAAGCCUGACGCAGCGACGCCGCGUGAGGGAUGACGGCCUGGUGUAAC